Molecule: long non-coding RNA, 2080 nt
Organism: Hypanus sabinus (Atlantic stingray)
Lineage: Eukaryota; Metazoa; Chordata; Chondrichthyes; Myliobatiformes; Dasyatidae
Exons: 3
Source: RefSeq, a predicted model, not a curated record
GUUGGCUGCUGGUCACUGGGCCAAAAUCACUAGCACAUUGUCUGAAAGCAUGCCACUAGAGAUAGAAGCCUUAUUCUAUGUGCCAGUUACCCAUCUGAAGUGGCUGAAUCUUUUUCCUUCCAAUUGCCACUCAUUGGAUGCCUUGUUUAUUGCACUAUUCCCUACAAUCACUAGGGAAUGUUGUGCUUGAAGAUCCCAGGAGAUCAGCAGUUUUUGAGGACAGAACUAUUUUUACUGGUGGUCUACAGCCUGGAAAUGAGCAAGAGGAUAUUUAUAUGCUUUGCAACUUUGCAACUGACAGCAUGAACGCUUCAGAUGAAGCUGCAAGUAGGAAGGUAUUACACAAAAGCAAAGUGGAUAACCUUCUGGGCUAAUAUCCAGAGAACUGGUUGAGAAUUUUAUUCCUACUACAACAACAGGGGAAGUUAAAUUCAAGUAAUUCAAUAGAUGUGGAAAUAAAAAUGAAUACAAAUAAUGGUGAGUGUUAAACUACUGAUUUGUUGUCUCACAUUCUGAUCUGGAAUAAUUCAAACCAAUAUUCAAAAUUCGUGAUUCAAGAUUUGUAAUGUUACUUCCUGUACACGAGUGUAAACAAGAAUGAAAUGAUUGUUACUCCAGAUCCGAUGAAGCAUAAAAAAAACACAGAAGUUAAAGAUAACACUAAAAAUUUUAAAAAAACACAAAUAGCUUAUAUACAUAGAUUGAUUGUAUGUCCAUAAAGCACUGCUAGGCUAUAUAUAGGUGUCUGACAAGAAUUAAGAAAGUAGCGGUGGAGUUAAAGGGUCGAGGUGUUGAUCAGCCUUACUGUUUCAGGAAAGUAACUGCGUUUCAGUCUGGUGGUCCUGGUGUGGAUGUUAUGUAGACUCCUCCCUCAUAGGAGUUUGUCAAACAAUCCAUGAGCAGGGUGGGUGGGAUACCCCCUGAUAUUUCUGGCUCUUUCCCAGCACCUUUCUGUAUAUAUGUCUUUGGUGGCAUGUAGGCUGGUGCCAGAGAUGAAUUUUGCAGUUUUGACUACCCGUUGUAGUUUUCCUGUCUGGCAGUGCAGUUUCUGCACCAAGCAGUUUGUCAGGAUGCUCUCUACUGCCAUCUGUAGAACAAAUUGAAUAUAGGCAUGCAAAGUCCAGCUCACUUCAGCCUCCUCAAACAGCAACAGUUAAGUUUCCUUAACUGUGGUGAAUGUGUUCUGGGACCCUGAGAGGUUGUGUGUGAUGUGCACUCAAGGAUUUUGAAACCGCUUGCAGUUUCCACUGCUGUGCAGCUGAUGUAAAUGAUAAGCACCACUACUGCUAUGUCAUCUGCCAACUUGAAACUGAUUGUAAUAUUGCAGUAAACUCACCUUACUGCGCAGGACACCGCUGGAAUCUAGGGCAGCAAUGAAGAUCCUCCAUUUCUGUCAGUCCUUCGCCACUCAGAGGAUUCCUGACAGCUGUUUCCCUAAUGGUUUUGUUUUACCAGUCAAGGAUGUUAGCCCCGAGCUAAACCCCCAAACCUGGAAGACCGAAGAACCACUCUUCGUCUGACCUCUACCCUUUGACCUGUUUGCCAUGGGUGACCCAACCAAGGGUCAAAGCAUAAAGCCAUGACUCCAGCCAACAUAACAUUCCAGGUCAUUAAGGCAUGCAAGCAUCCAAACGAUGAUAAUGUUGUGGUGCUCUUGGAGAGUGGCAAACUCAACUGCUGUUGAACUGAUGCAUCAAACAAGACAGAUUGGGAUAUUUUGGGCUGGGUAAUUAAUAUAGAUCUGACAAAACUCUUGAAGGAAUUUAAAAGUAAGAGAGUUCAGAUGUGACCUUUUUUGUUCUUCCCAGUCAUUUGAAAGAUUUUCCUUUCAAUGGCUAUUUCUAUGCACUAAUUGGGUGGCAUGGUAGCAUAGUAGUUAGUGCAAUGCUGUACAGUACCAGAGAUAGUCGAUUCCCACCGCUGUCUGAAAGGAGUUUGCUAUGUUUUCCCUGUGACUAUAUGGGUUUCCUCUGGGUGCUGCAGUCUCCUCCUAUGGUCCUAAAAGACAGACUGGUUAAGAUUAGGUUUAGUUAUUUGUGGGCCUGCUUUGUUGGUGCCGAAAGAGUGGUGACAUUUGCAA